This 261-nucleotide ribosomal RNA is filed under the name uncultured bacterium. Its description in RNAcentral is "partial 16S ribosomal RNA". It matches the Rfam family "Bacterial small subunit ribosomal RNA", at positions 93 to 354 of the family's 1533-position model. The record is from RNAcentral.
CGUUAUGNGACGGUAGAGUAAUACAUAGGUAACCUACCCUUAAGACGAGGAUAGCCAUUGGAAACGAUGGAUAAAACCGGAUAGGAUAUAGAGGAAGAAUCUUUUAUAUUUAAAAGAGAGAUCUGCUUAAGGAGGGGCCUGUGGCGCAUUAGCUAGUUGGUGGGGUAAGGGCCUACCAAGGCGAUGAUGCGUAGCCGGACUGAGAGGUUGAACGGCCACAAUGGAACUGAGAACGGUCCAUACUCCUACGGAAGGCAGCAG